AAGUCGUAACAAGGUUUCCGUAGGUGAACCUGCGGAAGGAUCAUUUUUGGGGUGUUAACGUGGUUCUGCCAUGGUUAACUUUUAAAUUGUGAACUUUAAUUUGGGUGGUCUCUGCGUGCCUUGGCCUUAGUUCCUUCGGGUUCUUUGGUUGGGGCGUGGUAUUGGGGUUUCGGCUUCAAUAUUUACAUGCGAGCACCUUGGGGCUUUUAUUAACCAUAAACUUAUUUUACGUAAAGGAGUGAUUGGCCUAAGCAAUCAAAUUUAUAGCCUUUAGCAAUGGAUCUCUUGGCUCCC
RNAcentral lists this unclassified non-coding RNA (294 nucleotides) under fungal sp. Its description in RNAcentral is "partial internal transcribed spacer region". The stretch from base 1 to 46 matches the Rfam family "Eukaryotic small subunit ribosomal RNA", at positions 1786 to 1831 of the family's 1831-position model. Lineage: Eukaryota; Fungi. The record is from RNAcentral.